Molecule: ribosomal RNA, 253 nt
Filed under: uncultured bacterium
Lineage: Bacteria
Description: partial 16S ribosomal RNA
Rfam family: Bacterial small subunit ribosomal RNA
Source: RNAcentral
UACGUAGGGCGCAAGCGUUGUCCGGAAUUAUUGGGCGUAAAGAGCUCGUAGGCGGUCUGUCGCGUCUGCCGUGAAAACCCGAGGCUUAACCUCGGGCUGGCGGUGGAUACGGGCAGACUAGAGGUAGGUAGGGGAGAAUGGAAUUCCCGGUGUAGCGGUGAAAUGCGCAGAUAUCGGGAGGAACACCGGUGGCGAAGGCGGUUCUCUGGGACGGUACUGACGCUGAGACGCGAAAGCGUGGGGAGCGAACAGG